RNAcentral lists this ribosomal RNA (491 nucleotides) under uncultured bacterium. RNAcentral describes it as "partial 16S ribosomal RNA". It matches the Rfam family "Bacterial small subunit ribosomal RNA", at positions 28 to 507 of the family's 1533-position model. The record is from RNAcentral.
GAUGAACGCUAGCUACAGGCUUAACACAUGCAAGUCGCGGGGCAGCAUGGGGGUUGCUUGCAACCCCUGAUGGCGACCGGCGCACGGGUGAGUAACGCGUAUCCAACCUGCCCUUCACCACGGGAUAACCCGGCGAAAGUCGGACUAAUACCGUAUGUUGUCCAUUGACGGCAUCCGAUUUGGACGAAAGGCUUGGCGGUGAAGGGAUGGUGAUGCGUCCGAUUAGCUUGACGUCGGGGGUACGGCCCACCGUGGCUACGAUCGGUAGGGGUUCUGAGAGGAAGGUCCCCCACACUGGAACUGAGCCACGGUCCAGACUCCUACGGGAGGCAGCAGUGAGGAAUAUUGGUCAAUGGGCGUAAGCCUGAACCAGCCAAGUAGCGUGCAGGAUGACGGCCCUAUGGGUUGUAAACUGCUUUUAUGCGGGGAUAAAGUGGCCCACGUGUGGGCUUUUGCAGGUACCGCAUGAAUAAGGACCGGCUAAUUCCGUG